GUCUACGGCCACGCCACCCUGAACGUGCCCGAUCCCGUCUGAUCUCAGAAGCUAAGCAGGGCCGGGCCUGGUUAGUACUUGGAUGGGAGACCACCUAGGAAGUCCAGGUGCUGUAGACA
RNAcentral lists this ribosomal RNA (119 nucleotides) under Pteropus alecto (black flying fox). Lineage: Eukaryota; Metazoa; Chordata; Mammalia; Chiroptera; Pteropodidae. The record is from RNAcentral.